Molecule: long non-coding RNA, 6506 nt
Organism: Culex pipiens pallens (northern house mosquito)
Lineage: Eukaryota; Metazoa; Arthropoda; Insecta; Diptera; Culicidae
Exons: 2
Source: RefSeq, a predicted model, not a curated record
ACGGAGCUAAUUAAUUAACCUAUUUUGGGAAUCGUAUUCUCCGGUAUCCGUCGUCUGUUUGAGCUCCUAGUCCUAGCACUUUUGGAGCUGCGUUGCACGGUGAUUUUUCCGGGUUGACCAGGACUAAAACUGGGUUGUAAUGUCUUGUACAAUGCAACAAAAUCAAUAACUAAACAUUCACAUUCUUUAAAAUUGCACAAACGUUCAAAAAUUGAGAGGAAAAAUUGUAUGAAAACCUUUCAAAAAUUCAAGAAAAUAAUUUCACUUCAAACUGUCAACUAAACAACUCGCGCUUUGCAACGCCUACCGCGAUCGAAGCUCCGCCCUCCGGCCAAACUUCGCUUGCGCGAGCCGAGCCGAACGCCAAACAAACCAGUCGUGCGCAUGCGCGUAGCAAUCGUAGCAACCCGACAACGUAGCAACCGUAGCAAUAAACAACCGAAAAGUUAUAAAUAGGGGUGGCUACCCAGCAACCGCCAAUUGAGUCCAACUGAUCAUCAUGAACGGAGGUAUGCUGCUCAAUUUUUUCCGAAUAAUUUUUCGGUCUUUUUUUCAGGCCCAAAUGGACUCAAAUUUCACUCCGGACCAAGAUUCGGAUGUAGAAAUGACAAAUUUAAGGAAUAAUUACCUCGAUGUGGCCACUGAGGCCACCGUUCAAGAAUGGUUCGGAAUUAUCAACGAAAUUCGCCGGAAUUCGGUGCUUCCGGGCCCGAGAUCGCUUGCGGAACUAGCUUUCGCGGCGAUUUCGGUCCCGGAACCACUGGCAGGUAUCAGAAUUCGUAUUUUUGAACCAUCUGUGGUGUUUCCGGGACCGCGAUCGCUGGCGGAAUUAGCCUACGAUGCGAUCCCGGUUCCGGAAUCAUCGUCGGAUGACUUGAGCAACUUUUUCGAACAAUCUGCGGUGGAUCUGGAAACGGAUCCACUUGCAGUUCCAAAUUCAAUGUGCAAUUACUUUAAUUCAAAUCUUUCGGAAGAAUCUGUGGUGGAUCCGACUCCGUCGGGUUCACUAUCGGAUAACCAAAUUCAAAGUGUUAUUAUUGAUUUGGAACCAACUGCGGCAGUUCCCAAUACGGAAUUGCCAGCAGAACCAAAUUUCAAAGUUAAUGUAGAUUGUAAAUAUUUUUGGUGUUACGAUUGUCGCAGUCCCAGGAACAGUUUACCCUGGACCUUGAGACUGCGAUAUUCCAAAUUUUCAAUGAUUUCUAGAUAUUUUUCUUUUAUUUUCGUUUGUAUUUUAGUUGCGUUUUUGUUUGUUUUUAGUUUCUUUUAGUUAAAUUUUCCUCUCUUUAGUUUGAUUUUGGACCAACUUCAAAAUUUUGUAGUGACCUUUUAGUUUGUAGAAGCGACCUGAGUACAGUUUGUUUGGAUAUUUGGUUGAUUUUUCACUUAAAUUUGUGCAUUUUAAUACGAUUUUUGAAAAAUAUUUGAAAAAGUUAAAGCCAACUUGGUAGAUUUUCUUUUUUGCUUUCGAAAACAACCAAUUUUGAGCUCUUUCUGUAUGGUGUGAAACCCAUAUCAGACUAUAAACGAAAAUUUAAGUCAAAAUUUAGUUGCUUAUCAAAAUUAAAAGUUAAAUUUUCUGUACGGUGUAAAACCCGUCAUCAGACUGUAAACGAUUUCAUUUAGAUUUUUCAAAAAAGAAAAUCUUCCAAUUUGGUUUGCAAUCAAAAUUUUAAAUUUUCGUAUAGAUCUGUGCAAAUUUAAGUGAAAAAUCGGCCUUCAAAAUUUGUUAGGACUCUUUUAAGUAAGGAGUCCACAUCAGAAAGCUCCCCUUUUAGUUAAGUGUUGAGCUAUUUGGUGUGGGGGUGUGUGGUGGGCCAGUGCUCAGGUCGCGAAGCAAAUUCUUUUUAGUUUUUUUUUUUUUUUUGAUCAAAUAUAUUUACACUUAAUAAAAUAUAUUGCUUUUUAAGGAAUACAAAAGCAAAUUUGGAUCCAAACUGGCAUUCUUGCCGUUUGUUUAUUUUUUCUUGAAAUAUUUCUUUUUAAAUUGAAAAAAUCCAAGCGCGUAAAAAGAGUGUGCAUAUUUUAUCGAAAACUCUGGUGCAACAUUUAAAAAGCAUAGUAUUUUGAUAGCUGAAACUUUUUUUUUGAAAUUUCCGAGUCAACAGAAUCUUAAAAAUUUCGAAACAUAACAUCAAAAAUAAAAUUUGUAAAAUAUAAAAACAAAAAUGCAACAUUAAACAAUCCUUUCUGGAGGACAAGGGUGGCCACCCCAGCAAAAAAACCGGGAAAAAGACGCGUUUGGCCGACAAAAGUACGGGACGGAAUUCGGAUGAAACGCGAUCAAAAAAAAAGUUGCGCAUUCUUUUCGUUUUUUCGUUAUUUUUCCCAUUUUUUCCGCCAACUCACAUUUAGAUAAUUUAGAAUUGGAAAUUAAAUAUGAGAUAGGGGGUUGAAAAAUCAAGACACAGAGUGAAUUUGAUAAUGGACCAGCAGGUAGUUGAUCGCUGUACGGAUCCCGGUUCGGAUUAGUAUUCCUGGUAAUCGUUUCCCUUUUGGACUCGAUUCCUUUUUGAAACAAGGGGGAGAGGAUAAUAAAACUAUUCGACUAUAAUGAUCAAAUGGGAGUUCUUUACAAAAAAAAAGUUGGUUUAACAGAGAAGGGGGACAUGCAAAAUAACAAAACUUGGGUUUUCAGACAUGGCUGAGAAAGCAACAAACGAAAGAGUAAAAAGUGAGUAAAAAUUGAGAAAAAGUUAGUGUGAAAAGAGAGACAACAGUUUGAAGAAGACAAAAUUAAAAUGAAAAUCAAGUAAAGGUUGAGAAAUGCAAUAGUGAAACAGAAAAUUUAAAAACAGUAAAAUUCGACAGAAACGGAACUCGAAAUCACUAUACUAGUUUGAUUAUUGGAAACGCAACGGAUAUAGCAAAUAGCAGGUCAUUUAAAAAUAAAUAAAUAAUGCAAAUUUCAGUUUUCAGCCAUAACAUGAAAAGGAGGAAAAGAAUCAUGAGAAAAAGACAUUAAGAACUUAAGAGCUCUGGACUCGGAUAAAAUUUGAAUCAUCAACAAAGUCUUAAUUUGUAACUGCUAGAAGCUAAAGCAUGAGAUUUAAUUAUUCGAUAUAAAGAUGGAAAAGAGCAAAAGGACAAUCAAAUUGGAAACGAGCAAGAGGAACGGAAACAGCGUUCGCAAUUAACAUUAUUUUAAAUUUCAGCUGUGUAUUGGCAUUGGUAAAAAAUUACAAAUGAGCUGUUGUGUGGGGAGCGAAAGUACUUGGGGAGGGCAUCACACUGAUAAGUCCUAGACUCCACCUUGAUGCUACAGAAGGACAAUAGAAGGAUUAGUGUUAGUGCCUGCUUCAGUCGAUUGUGAGCGGUGGGGCCGAGCGCUUGCCUUACAGAACUAUUCGUGUCUUGAGCGUCAUUUAUUUUUUUUUCUAGAUUGGUUGGUCCUUUUGUGGUUUUGUAAUCUCAAUUAAUUGUUUUGUGAUUUUAAAAGUCUUUCCUAUAUCGUCGUUGAUCAGAAGGCAACGGCGUCGGAUAAAUUGUGCAUUAAUUUUUCGAAUAAUGUGUUAAAUUUUCUCAGUGAAAAUGUAAUUUCUAUAGAAUUGUUUAUCGAUUGACAUUUUGAACCGUCGAGUGAAGAAUAGAGAAGAGCAAAAUUUUCAUUUAUCAUUUAUUACACACAUACAUAUAUUGAGUGUUUUAGUGUGUUAACCAGAAGAGCAAUUCUCUACAAAAUCGAUCUUAUUUUUUUAAUUUAUUUUUUUUGUAUUUUUUUAAUUCGGCUAAAUUUUUUUUGGUGCCUUUGGUAUGCCCAAAGAUGCCAUUUUACAUCAUAAGUUUGUUCAUAUAAUUUUCCAUACAAAUUUGGCAGCUGUCCAUACCAAAAUGAUAUAUGAAAAUUCAAAAAUCUGUAUUUUUGCAAGGAAUUUUUUGAUCGAUUUGGUGUCUUCGGCAAAGUUGUAGGUAUGGAUAAAGACUACAUUGAAUAAAAAUGAUACACGGUAAAAAAAAUGGUGAUUUUUAAUUUCACUUUUUGUCACUAAAACUUGAUUUGCAAAAAAAAAACACUAUUUUUAUUUAUUUUUUUCUGAUAUGUUUUAGGGGACAUCAAUUGCCAACUUUUCAGAAAUUUUCAGGUUGUGCAAAAAAUCUUUGACCGAGUUAUGAAUUUUUAAAUCAAUACUAAUUUUAAAAAAAAUCGAGAUAUUGAUCGCCAAAAUUUUUCAACUUCGUUUUUCGAUGUGAAAUCAAAUUUGCAAUCAAAAAGUACUGUAGUGAAAUUUUGAUAAAGUGCGCCGUUUUCAAGUUAAAGCCAUUUUCAGGUAACUUUUUUGAAAAUAGUCGCAGUUUUUCAUUUUUUAAAUAAGUGCACAUGUUUGCCCACUUUUGAAAAAAAUAUUUUUGAAAAGCUGAGAAAAUUCUCUAUAUUUUGCUUUUUUGAACUUAGUUGAUACGACCCUUAGUUGCUGAGAUAUUACAAUGCAAAGGUUUAAAAACAGGAAAAUUGAUGUUUUCUAAGUCUCGCCUAAACAACCCACAAUUUUCUAAUGUCAAUUUUCAAUUUUAAAAUAUGAAACAUUCGUGAAAUUUUCCGAUCUUUUCGAAAACAAUAUUUCGACGUGUAUCAACAAUGUUCAAAAAAGCAAAGUAUAGAGAAUUUUCUCAACUUUUCAAAAAUAUUUUUUUCAAAAGUGGGCAAACAUGUGCACUAAUUCUAAAAAAAGGAAAAAUGUUACCUAAAAUGGCUUUAACUUGAAAACGGUGCAUUUUAUCAAAAUUUCACUAAAGUACUUUUUGAUUGCAAAUUUGAUUUUACAUCGAAAAAUGAAGUUGAAAAAUUUUUGCGACCAAUUCUUCGAUUUUUUGAAAAAAUCAGUACUGAUUCAAAAAUUCAUAACUAUAUUAGGUCAAAGAUUUUUUGCACAACCUGGAAAUUUCUGAAAAGUUGACAUUUGAUGUCCUCUAAAACAUAUAAAAAAAAUAAAAAUAAAAAUAGUGUUUUUUUUUUGCAAAUCAAGUUUUAUUGACAAAAAGUGAAAUUAAAAGUCACCAAUUUUUUUUACCGUGUAUCAUUUUUUUUUCAAUGUAGUUCAUAUCCAUACCUACAACUUUGCCGAAGACACCAAAUCGAUCAAAAAAUUCCUUCAAAAGAUACAGAUUUUUGAAUCUUCAUAUAUCAUUAUUGUAUGGACAGCUGCCGAUUUUGUAUGGAAAAUUAUAUGGACAAACUAAUGAUGCAAAAUGGCUUCUUUGGGAGCGUUCUUUUAUUACGUAACGCAGUUGGGGGGGGGGGUCGGAGGCCGUGUUACGCUCCAUACAAUUUUUUUUUAAAUUUGUAUGGAAAUUUUGUUACGAUGGGGGGAGAGGGUCUAAAAAUCCAUUUUUUGCGUUACGUAAUAAAAGAACGCUCCCUUUGGGCAUACCGAAGCCGCCAAAAAAGUUUUAGCCGGAUAAAAAAAUUCAAUAAAAAAUCGAAAGACCGAAAUCUCAGAAAAUUGUUCAGAAAGACCUUCCCAUAGCAUCGUUGCUCGGAGGGCUCGCCGACGGGUCUAUUAUGAAAGUCCUCUCCAUAGCAUUUUAUCUCGAAAGUCAUCGAAAAGCCAACACCUUAUGCUAUUAACCCAAGAAAAACUAAUCCCGUGAUGCUUGAAGGAGAUGCUGUGGAUUCAACGGUCUCAUGCGGUAUCAACAGGUUCAUAGCGAAAAAAUAUGUGCCAGAUGAGUCGGCAACUUCAACUAUCGGACUAACAUUCCUCCCUUUCGUUGGACUGCAGGCUUCUUGGGAGGCGCCGGUAUUGACUAAUAAAGACGGGAUCUUCAGAGGUUAAACAGUGAACCGAUGAUUGGCUUCCACUUAUCAUUUUUGAUUCAUUGGUUAACUUCAGCUGAUCUGUCAAUAACGGAGUAGCAACUCAUUGUAUCACCUAUCAGUACAGUGAAACCUCUUUUGACGCGGUGCGUUACGUUUUUCUUAUUUGUCGAUUUCUCUGGAACGACGCAACAUUUUUGCAAUCUUUUAACAGCAGUUUGUAGGUUUUGUUUAGAUCUACAAAACGCUUUUUGCAGGCCAAGGGUGUAUGAUACUGAUGAUACUCGUCGGUUGACACCCAGGCGAGGAACAUCCCGGAAGGAGCCCAACUACAUCCGUAGUGCUGUUUGGACGAAACAGCAUGGCUCUGGUUCCUUGCAAGUGUCCUAUUUUCUUACCUCCACGUUGGCUUGGUUUAGUCAUCAUGAUGACAAGGUGUAACCUAGCUGGUGGCUUGUGGAAACGACUCGUAAACCUUUGACCAGUGAGGGUCAGAGUGGAGACGGCUAAAAGAAAGGGGCGCGUCAAUGUGGGAAAGGGAAGUAAUUUGUGAUUGUAGACGGUAUUGUUUUGAUUCGCAGUAUGUUGAGUCAACUGCUGUGGAUGUACCUGAGCGUCGCAGAACGGGGUUUCUUUUCUUUCCAUUUCAGCUAACAGCUAUCUUCUGUUUAUUUCGUUUCACUGAUUUUCUAAAACGGCUUCUGUUUACUAUCCUCCAUUUGAUUUCGAUUUUACUUAUUUGAUUCUCUUA